UACGUAGGUGGCAAGCGUUGUCCGGAUUUACUGGGCGUAAAGAGCUCGUAGGUGGUUUGGUAAGUCGGAUGUGAAAUCUCCAGGCUCAACCUGGAGGGGUCAUUCGAUACUGCCAUGACUAGAGGUCGGUAGGGGAGUGUGGAAUUCCUGGUGGAGCGGUGAAAUGCGCAGAUAUCAGGAGGAACACCCGUAGCGAAGGCGGCACUCUGGGCCGAUACUGACACUGAGGAGCGAAAGCGUGGGGAGCGAACAGG
RNAcentral lists this ribosomal RNA (254 nucleotides) under uncultured bacterium. RNAcentral describes it as "partial 16S ribosomal RNA". It matches the Rfam family "Bacterial small subunit ribosomal RNA", at positions 524 to 776 of the family's 1533-position model. The record is from RNAcentral.